Molecule: ribosomal RNA, 1472 nt
Filed under: Lactiplantibacillus plantarum
Lineage: Bacteria; Bacillati; Bacillota; Bacilli; Lactobacillales; Lactobacillaceae
Description: bacterial SSU rRNA
Rfam family: Bacterial small subunit ribosomal RNA
Source: RNAcentral
CCCUUGGGGUGCCUAUACAUGCAAGUCGAACGAACUCUGGUAUUGAUUGGUGCUUGCAUCAUGAUUUACAUUUGAGUGAGUGGCGAACUGGUGAGUAACACGUGGGAAACCUGCCCAGAAGCGGGGGAUAACACCUGGAAACAGAUGCUAAUACCGCAUAACAACUUGGACCGCAUGGUCCGAGUUUGAAAGAUGGCUUCGGCUAUCACUUUUGGAUGGUCCCGCGGCGUAUUAGCUAGAUGGUGGGGUAACGGCUCACCAUGGCAAUGAUACGUAGCCGACCUGAGAGGGUAAUCGGCCACAUUGGGACUGAGACACGGCCCAAACUCCUACGGGAGGCAGCAGUAGGGAAUCUUCCACAAUGGACGAAAGUCUGAUGGAGCAACGCCGCGUGAGUGAAGAAGGGUUUCGGCUCGUAAAACUCUGUUGUUAAAGAAGAACAUAUCUGAGAGUAACUGUUCAGGUAUUGACGGUAUUUAACCAGAAAGCCACGGCUAACUACGUGCCAGCAGCCGCGGUAAUACGUAGGUGGCAAGCGUUGUCCGGAUUUAUUGGGCGUAAAGCGAGCGCAGGCGGUUUUUUAAGUCUGAUGUGAAAGCCUUCGGCUCAACCGAAGAAGUGCAUCGGAAACUGGGAAACUUGAGUGCAGAAGAGGACAGUGGAACUCCAUGUGUAGCGGUGAAAUGCGUAGAUAUAUGGAAGAACACCAGUGGCGAAGGCGGCUGUCUGGUCUGUAACUGACGCUGAGGCUCGAAAGUAUGGGUAGCAAACAGGAUUAGAUACCCUGGUAGUCCAUACCGUAAACGAUGAAUGCUAAGUGUUGGAGGGUUUCCGCCCUUCAGUGCUGCAGCUAACGCAUUAAGCAUUCCGCCUGGGGAGUACGGCCGCAAGGCUGAAACUCAAAGGAAUUGACGGGGGCCCGCACAAGCGGUGGAGCAUGUGGUUUAAUUCGAAGCUACGCGAAGAACCUUACCAGGUCUUGACAUACUAUGCAAAUCUAAGAGAUUAGACGUUCCCUUCGGGGACAUGGAUACAGGUGGUGCAUGGUUGUCGUCAGCUCGUGUCGUGAGAUGUUGGGUUAAGUCCCGCAACGAGCGCAACCCUUAUUAUCAGUUGCCAGCAUUAAGUUGGGCACUCUGGUGAGACUGCCGGUGACAAACCGGAGGAAGGUGGGGAUGACGUCAAAUCAUCAUGCCCCUUAUGACCUGGGCUACACACGUGCUACAAUGGAUGGUACAACGAGUUGCGAACUCGCGAGAGUAAGCUAAUCUCUUAAAGCCAUUCUCAGUUCGGAUUGUAGGCUGCAACUCGCCUACAUGAAGUCGGAAUCGCUAGUAAUCGCGGAUCAGCAUGCCGCGGUGAAUACGUUCCCGGGCCUUGUACACACCGCCCGUCACACCAUGAGAGUUUGUAACACCCAAAGUCGGUGGGGUAACCUUUUAGGAACCAGCCGGCUUAAGGCUGGGCCCGUU